UUAGAUGAAGGAAAAGUGACGAUUCUUGUGAUAACCGUGUAUGACUGUCAUCCUUUCCAAUUAACAGGCCACGGUUAUGUGCAAGAGUGCAUCAAGGAUUGCAUGUCAACUCCAAGGAGGUGACUGGUGGUCCCUUUUUCUAGACAAGGCAACUGGAUGACCUGGCUGAUAGUAGUACUGAAUCUGGAACUCAUCAAACCUGCUGUUUUUCAUGCCCUGCUUAGCAACCCAGGGGAGUGACUUGCCCAAGGUCCUACUGUAAAUGGAGUUGCUGGGAGCAGACCCUGAAUUCCUCAGCUCACCAUGGAGGCUCUAAUCACAAAGCCGGUAAGAAGAGGCCCUUGCUCUGGUUUGAAGCUCCCCACUGAGCACGUUCCGAGUUUCUGGUCUCAUUGGCACCGUGUGUUGAACUCAGCUGAAUUUUGAACCCCUCUUCAAUAGCAGGAAGACCGAGAGGAGCUACUGCACAUUCAAGGUCAGGAGGGGCAGCGGUGAGGAGAUACCCCUCAUCCAAGAUAAGGAGCAGCAGGUGCGCUUUGCUGGCAGCUGUGAAAAGAUACCCUAUGACCAAGGUAAGAGAAACCCAAGUAAGACAGUAGGUGUUGCGAGAGGGCAUCAGAGGGCAGACACACUGAAACCAUAAUCACAGAAAACUAGCCAAUCUGAUCACACGGACCACAGCCUUGUC
This 688-nucleotide long non-coding RNA is filed under the name Bos indicus x Bos taurus (hybrid cattle). Its description in RNAcentral is "lncRNA (ENSBIXG00000026109.1)". The record is from RNAcentral. Lineage: Eukaryota; Metazoa; Chordata; Mammalia; Artiodactyla; Bovidae.